GAAGUCCUUGAUGUUUUCCAA
Molecule: non-coding RNA, 21 nt
Filed under: Rattus norvegicus (Norway rat)
Lineage: Eukaryota; Metazoa; Chordata; Mammalia; Rodentia; Muridae
Source: RNAcentral